GAUGAACGCUAGCUACAGGCUUAACACAUGCAAGUCGAGGGGAAACGAUAGAGAAGGCUUGCUUUUUCUAGGCGUCGACCGGCGCACGGGUGAGUAACGCGUAUCCAAACUGCCCACCACUUGGGAAUAACCUUGCGAAAGUAAGACUAAUACCCAAUGAUAUCUCUAGAAGACAUCUGAAGGAGAUUAAAGAUUUAACGUUGAUGGAGGGGGGUGCGUCUGAAUAGCUUGUUGGCGGGGUAACGGCCCACCAAGGCGACGAUCAGUAGGGGUUCUGAGAGGAAGGUCCGCCACAUUGGAACUGAGACACGGUCCAAACUCCUACGGGAGGCAGCAGUGAGGAAUAUUGGUCAAUGGGCGAGAGCCUGAACCAGCCAAGUAGCGUGCAGGAUGACGGCCCUAUGGGUUGUAAACUGCUUUUAUAAGGGAAUAAAGUGAGCCUCGUGAGGCUUUUUGCAUGUACCUUAUGAAUAAGGACCGGCUAACUCCGUGCCAGCAGCCGCCGUAA
RNAcentral lists this ribosomal RNA (508 nucleotides) under uncultured bacterium. RNAcentral's name for it is "partial 16S ribosomal RNA". It matches the Rfam family "Bacterial small subunit ribosomal RNA", at positions 28 to 523 of the family's 1533-position model. The record is from RNAcentral.